Molecule: transfer RNA, 98 nt
Filed under: Deltaproteobacteria bacterium RIFOXYD12_FULL_50_9
Lineage: Bacteria; Deltaproteobacteria
Description: tRNA-Sec
Rfam family: Selenocysteine transfer RNA
Source: RNAcentral
GGAAGUGGUAAGGGCACUGGUGGCUCUCCCGGACUUCAAAUCCGGUGCACCGGGUUAAUAGCCUGGUGGGUGGGUUCGAUUCCCAUGCACUUCCGCCA